This is a non-coding RNA of Cinara cedri, 397 nucleotides long. The record is from the annotation of a GenBank genome assembly. Lineage: Eukaryota; Metazoa; Arthropoda; Insecta; Hemiptera; Aphididae.
UUUUUCUCCGACACUCGAAUGCAAUAAAUUGUGUCUUUUAGUUUUCGUUCGUUCAGCAUUAUGGGUAUACACAGGUAAGUAUAUCAGUGCAGCGUAUUAUACGGGCAACGGUUUCCGAAACAAAACCCAUACAUCGCGGCGGACGUGUACUGUUUUAGCGGGCGGACGCGCGUGUACACUUACCACCCGGUUCGGAAAACAUACCGGGCGCGGGAGCGUGCGUGAGUGCGUGUGCGUGUGCAGGCAGAACCGGCAGACGAGCAGACAGUAGGCCAGUACAUAAUAAUAUAAUAAUAUUAUAUACGGGUCACGUUUCGCAGGAAAAAGAGAAAAAAAAAACUACCUACAUAAUACCGAUCCCGUACCCGCCGUGACGACUACGACGACGUGUCGCAUA